RNAcentral lists this unclassified non-coding RNA (214 nucleotides) under soil metagenome. RNAcentral's name for it is "partial contains 5.8S ribosomal RNA, internal transcribed spacer 2, and large subunit ribosomal RNA". The record is from RNAcentral.
AACGCACGAGACCUGCGGACCUGCGGAAGGAUCAUUACAAGUGACCCCGGUCUAACCACCGGGAUGUUCAUAACCCUUUGUUGUCCGACUCUGUUGCCUCCGGGGCGACCCUGCCUUCGGGCGGGGGCUCCGGGUGGACACUUCAAACUCUUGCGUAACUUUGCAGUCUGAGUAAACUUAAUUAAUAAAUUAAAACUUUUAACAAUGGAUCUCU